UUUCCAUGAUGAUAACUUUGUCAGUUCUGCUACUGAGUGUAAGUGGAGAAACCAAAGACUCUGAGGAAA
Cyprinodon variegatus (sheepshead minnow) is the source of this 69-nucleotide small nucleolar RNA. The record is from Ensembl. NCBI's taxonomy places the organism in Eukaryota, Metazoa, Chordata, Actinopteri, Cyprinodontiformes, Cyprinodontidae.